RNAcentral lists this long non-coding RNA (278 nucleotides) under Homo sapiens (human). RNAcentral describes it as "HSALNT0175956". Lineage: Eukaryota; Metazoa; Chordata; Mammalia; Primates; Hominidae. The record is from RNAcentral.
UUGGCUAAAUAUUGGAUACAUUGUAUUAUUCUUUCAAGAACAUUACAUCAGUAUUUUAUAUUGUUUUCUGUUUCCGGUAAAAUCAAUUGUUUAUUCGGCCUCUUUCCCUCAAUUCCUGUAACAGGGUGUGUGUUUUAUUGUGUGUGAUUCUUCAUGAUUAGCAAUUAAAUCUUCCGUUAGUAAAGAAGGAGGUUGCCAUGAUUUCAUCUGACUUGUUCAAACUGUGGAUUUGGCGCUUUUUGUUUCUCUCUGUCACCAGUUUUUCUCCAGGAAUCUCU